RNAcentral lists this ribosomal RNA (275 nucleotides) under uncultured bacterium. RNAcentral's name for it is "partial 16S ribosomal RNA". It matches the Rfam family "Bacterial small subunit ribosomal RNA", at positions 29 to 329 of the family's 1533-position model. The record is from RNAcentral.
AGCGAACGCUGGCGGCAGGCUUAACACAUGCAAGUCGAGCGGGCGUAGCAAUACGUCAGCGGCAGACGGGUGAGUAACGCGUGGGAACGUACCUUUUGGUUCGGAACAACACAGGGAAACUUGUGCUAAUACCGGAUAAGCCCUUACGGGGAAAGAUUUAUCGCCGAAAGAUCGGCCCGCGUCUGAUUAGCUAGUUGGUGAGGUAACGGCUCACCAAGGCGACGAUCAGUAGCUGGUCUGAGAGGAUGAUCAGCCACAUUGGGACUGAGACACGG